CAUUACCGAGUUUACAACUCCCAAACCCCUGUGAACAUACCACUUGUUGCCUCGGCGGAUCAGCCCGCUCCCGGUAAAACGGGACGGCCCGCCAGAGGACCCCUAAACUCUGUUUCUAUAUGUAACUUCUGAGUAAAACCAUAAAUAAAUCAAAACUUUCAACAACGGAUCUCUUGGUUCUGGCAUCGAUGAAGAACGCAGCAAAAUGCGAUAAGUAAUGUGAAUUGCAGAAUUCAGUGAAUCAUCGAAUCUUUGAACGCACAUUGCGCCCGCCAGUAUUCUGGCGGGCAUGCCUGUUCGAGCGUCAUUUCAACCCUCAAGCACAGCUUGGUGUUGGGACUCGCGUUAAUUCGCGUUCCUCAAAUUGAUUGGCGGUCACGUCGAGCUUCCAUAGCGUAGUAGUAAAACCCUCGUUACUGGUAAUCGUCGCGGCCACGCCGUUAAACCCCCAACUUCUGAAUGUUGACCUCGGAUCAGGUAGG
RNAcentral lists this ribosomal RNA (482 nucleotides) under Fusarium oxysporum. RNAcentral describes it as "eukaryotic LSU rRNA". The stretch from base 154 to 307 matches the Rfam family "5.8S ribosomal RNA". Lineage: Eukaryota; Fungi; Ascomycota; Sordariomycetes; Hypocreales; Nectriaceae. The record is from RNAcentral.